This 250-nucleotide ribosomal RNA is filed under the name uncultured bacterium. Its description in RNAcentral is "partial 16S ribosomal RNA". It matches the Rfam family "Bacterial small subunit ribosomal RNA", at positions 524 to 773 of the family's 1533-position model. The record is from RNAcentral.
UACGAAGGGUGCAAGCGUUGCUCGGAAUUACUGGGCGUAAAGGGUCCGUAGGUGGCCCAGCAAGUUGGGUGUGAAAGCCCCGAGCUCAACUCGGGAAAUGCACUCAAAACUGCUGAGCUUGAGUCCGGGAGAGGGAAGUGGAAUUCCCAGUGUAGAGGUGAAAUUCGUAGAGAUUGGGAGGAACAUCAGUGGCGAAAGCGACUUCCUGGACCGGUACUGACACUGAGGGACGAAAGCGUGGGGAGCAAAC